UGUGUGUAUGUGUGUGUGUGUUCAACUGGACAAAGGCAUGAAACACAGGAGCAAAAAUAAAUUCUCUCUUGCAACCCAGAACUCAUUGUUCAGUGUCAGUUUUGAUACAUACAAGACAAUAUG
RNAcentral lists this small nucleolar RNA (123 nucleotides) under Nannospalax galili (Upper Galilee mountains blind mole rat). Its description in RNAcentral is "Small nucleolar RNA SNORA40 (ENSNGAG00000004366.1)". It matches the Rfam family "Small nucleolar RNA SNORA40". Rfam says of the family: The snoRNA ACA 40 belongs to the H/ACA family of snoRNAs and guides the pseudouridylation of 28S rRNA subunit at position U4565. NB This family has a high threshold value to exclude a large number of closely related sequences that do not appear to have conserved H and ACA boxes, and may be pseudogenes. The record is from RNAcentral. Lineage: Eukaryota; Metazoa; Chordata; Mammalia; Rodentia; Spalacidae.